Long non-coding RNA from Notothenia coriiceps (black rockcod), 1364 nucleotides. RefSeq lists it as uncharacterized. The transcript is spliced from 3 exons. Lineage: Eukaryota; Metazoa; Chordata; Actinopteri; Perciformes; Nototheniidae. The record is from RefSeq and is a predicted model, not a curated record.
AAGUCAACACCCAGCAGAGCUGCCCCCGCCUCGGAAGCCGCUAAACCAGUGCCUAUUCCCAGAUCAGUUCCCCUCCCUGUGGACCCCAGACUGAUGCAGGGUCAGCAAGAGGGAGUGCAUCUCACCGCUGAUGACUUCACCAAGGCUCAGAAGCUGUGUAAAUACGCUGGCAGCGCUCUUCAGUACGAGGACGUGAGCACAGCCGUGACUAACCUGCAACAAGCUCUGCGCCUUCUCACCACCGGACACGAGUGAAGCCUUCCUCCUCCUCCUCUUCCUCAUCCUAAAUCAUAACUACAGUUUGAAGAGCAAAGCUUCAUUAACAUAACAUUUUUGCUGAUAUCAACAUGCAUGAGUGUGUUUCUAUAAACCAUAUCAGCAACAACAAGGUUUAAUGUCAUUUAUUCAAAAAAGAAAAUUAAAACAUUGAGACAUAGCAACAGAAAUGUUUCAUCAAAUGACAUCAAACAAAUUAAAACGAGCUCGAUUAGAAUAAGUAGAAAAAGUGUUUAAAACACGUUGACACUCCGAACAAACCCUCCUCUGACUCUGAUCACCUUUGAUUAACAUUUACCAAACUUUAUUUUGAUUGUUCAGCCUUUUUACGGCGGAGGAUCAGGGCCACGUGAAAAUACAUUUGAUUUCUAACCCAAACAUUUUUUAAUUCUAAAAUUAAAGUAAACAUUUUCAGAUUAAAGUUUGAAUUCUGACAUUAAAAAAAUCUAAAUUUGGAGAAACGUCAGAAUCUUGAGAAAAGUCAGGAUUUUGAAUUUCCACAGAAAUCCCCCCAAAAAAAUCCCUUUUGUCCAGAUCUCAAAAACCUUUUCUCAUGUCGACCUAACCCUCUUCUGUAUUUAUUCUGUUGACCUGAUUCUGUCAAAGGAUCCUUCGCUGAUCAGCUGCUCCGCUUUAAAACUCACUGUGACUCCGAAAAAACUGACAGGCGAUGAAAGAAAAAAGUAAACUGUAAAAAGUUAAAAAAGUUUACAAACCGUAAAUAUUCAGAUUUUAAAAUGUCUUCUCUUAUCUAUAAAACGUCUCUCCUCCUAUUGGCUAGCCCACAACCUUCUGUAAGUGAUUGAUGGUUUAGGGGCGGGACAUCUCUAACCAAUCACAACAGCAGUCUCUAACCCCAUGUUCUCCCAGAUAAAGUGCUCCUGAAAACACACAAAUGAGACGUGAAUGAAUCUGCUGCUGGAGACCUCCUCUCACUGCUUUCUGUUUUGCUCUGAAGUAUUUUAUUUUGACGUGUUUCCAUCCGUCUCUGUGUGUACCAUGAUCUUUUCUUUGUUCUUCUGGACUUUAAACUCAGAUCUGCCAGAACCUCCGUUGAUUUAUUUGAAUAAAAUUGUUUGAGAUGUUCA